UUAUUACACCUCAAGUAGUCCAAGUCCAGGCAGGAUCAUCAGAUGUACAAAGAUUUGCUCAGUUUUGUUCCUCCUAAUCAAUUCAAAGGAUCUAACUCAAAACUUGGCGUUGCAAUAGAUAAAUGCUGCUGGAUAAUUAGGAUACAACAUAUCUUAGUGUAAUCCCACAUAGUCUGGAAAGGGUGGUUGUAAGCAAGCCGGAUAAUUAGGAUGAUAUAUACAAAUGGAUCAGCUAACCAGCACAUUUAUACUUGUUUAGCCAAACCAACAGAUGAGCUCUCCCCUGAUGAGAAGUUUGGUCAUCUCCAUGUUGAUGCAUAUGAAACCUUAAGAUAUCACAUCAUGUCUUUUUAUCCUCGUUUUUCAUUUUGUCCUGAUUUUAGGGGGCAGUGGAUGUUGAAUCAUCACAAAAAUGGCAUCUGAGCAUCGUAACCGAUUAUGAUGCAUGUAACUCAUGAAGACCUUCUCCAUUGCUUCUUUCCUUUCAUCUGAUUCAACUUGAAAGGACUCCAAGUUUUUCUCCGCUUUGGCGUCUCACAAAAAAGUCCAGAUGCUAGAGCUUGCUGGAGCCACAGCUCGAAUUCUUCAUCUUCAUCUGUCAUCUCAGCAUCAAAAUCCCAGGGGUACCUACUUGAAUUGGAUCUCUGGGAUGAUUUCUCUAAUCCAACCAUGUUCACAUGGAAACUCGGUCUAUGUGUAUUUGGUCUACAAGCCAUGCCCUGACAUAUGGCCCAUUCCGACACAUCAAAUAUCUUGCCUUCAGCACAAACGAAAGCACGAGGUAUCUCCGCCUUUUGUGGUCGAUUGAAAACCAAUGAUCCUUUGUAUUCUACCCAUCCAUCCCCAUCUUUGGCUUGGUGAUAUUGACAACAAUCCUGGCACCAUCUUGCCUUGACCUUUGUCCUAUUGGUGCAGAUCCAAAUGUGUGAGUUGCCACAUUUUGUGCAGUGGAUACGCCUUGACUCUUCUGAGCAGUAGUUGGAGGAUUCCUGGUUGGACGUGCUAGGUGAUUUUUGCAGUACACUCUUAGAUUCUUCCUUUCUGAGUUGCUCAUCAUAGUCUCGCUUCUUGACAGCAUCAGAAAGAACCUCAUAUCCACAUUGAAGUUUCUUAAAUGAUUCACUGGCAAGUGAACUUCCCAUGUUUUUGUCCGGGUGCACAAGCAUUGCCUUUUUACGAUAUUCUUUUUUCAACAGUAAAGUGUCAAUUUUCUUAUGCCGAGAAACCCCUAGUGCUUCAUAAUGAUCCGCACUAUCUAAUAUCCGCUUCAUCUCAAUUAUUGAACUUGCAUCUUCUCUAACUACUGGCUUAGCUGGGGGUUCUAUCUGUUUGGUUACAACUGAUGAAGUAGAAGUAGAAGCAGCGUCGCUGAAUGUUUUGCAAGCGUGAACCUUUUCAACUUUUUCAACCUUUUCAGGUUCAUCCAGAGGAACUGAUGACUCAUAAUCUGUGGAGAAGUCAUCCUCAGUAAAUGUUUCGGACUCUUUAAAAUCUUCAACAUGUGUGCCUUCACUCAAA
RNAcentral lists this unclassified non-coding RNA (1518 nucleotides) under Hevea brasiliensis (rubber tree). The record is from RNAcentral. Lineage: Eukaryota; Viridiplantae; Streptophyta; Magnoliopsida; Malpighiales; Euphorbiaceae.